GACGAACGCUGGCGGCGUGCUUAACACAUGCAAGUCGAACGAAGUGGCGAACGGGUGAGUAACGCGUAAUCAACCUGCCGUUCAGAGGGGGACAACAGUUGGAAACGACUGCUAAUCCCGCAUACUGAAGAGGGGGAUUGCGUCUGAUUAGCUAGUGGGAGGGGUAACGGCCCACCAAGGCGAGGAUCAGUAGACUGGCUGGGAGGAUGGACCGCCACAAUGGGACUGGGGCACCGCCCAGACUCCUUCGGGGGGCAGGCGUGGGGAAUCUUUCGAAAUGGAGGGAAGUCCGACGGAGCAACGCCCCGGGAGUUAUGAAGGCCUUUGGGUUGUAAAGCUCUGUUAAUCGGGACGCGGUACCGGAAUAGAAAGCCACGGCUAACUACGUGCCAGCAGCCGCGGUAAUUC
Molecule: ribosomal RNA, 408 nt
Filed under: uncultured bacterium
Lineage: Bacteria
Description: partial 16S ribosomal RNA
Rfam family: Bacterial small subunit ribosomal RNA
Source: RNAcentral